RNAcentral lists this ribosomal RNA (440 nucleotides) under uncultured bacterium. RNAcentral describes it as "partial 16S ribosomal RNA". It matches the Rfam family "Bacterial small subunit ribosomal RNA", at positions 338 to 795 of the family's 1533-position model. The record is from RNAcentral.
CCUACGGGCGACAGCAGUGGGGAAUAUUGCACAAUGGGGGAAACCCUGAUGCAGCAACGCCGCGUGAGUGAUGACGGCCCUCGGGUUGUAAAGCUCUGUCUUCAGGGACGAUAAUGACGGUACCUGAGGAGGAAGCCACGGCUAACUACGUGCCAGCAGCCGCCGGAAUACGUCGGUGGCGAGCGUUGUCCGGAUUUACUGGGCGUAAAGGGGGCGUAGGCGGACUUUUAAGUGAGAUGUGAAAUAAUCGGGCUCAAAUUGAGUGCUGCAAUUCAAACUGUAAGUCUAGAGUGCAGGAGAGGAGGAUGGAAUUCGUAGUGUAGCGGUGAAAUGCGUAGAGAUUAGGAAGAACACCAGUGGCGAAGGCGAUUCUCUGGACUGUAACUGACGCUGAGGCUCGAAAGCGUGGGGAGCAAACAGGAUUAGAUACCCUAGUAGUC